RNAcentral lists this ribosomal RNA (433 nucleotides) under uncultured bacterium. RNAcentral describes it as "partial 16S ribosomal RNA". It matches the Rfam family "Bacterial small subunit ribosomal RNA", at positions 29 to 507 of the family's 1533-position model. The record is from RNAcentral.
AACGAACGCUGGCGGCAUGCCUAACACAUGCAAGUCGAACGAGACCUUCGGGUCUAGUAGCGCACGGGUGCGUAACGCGUGGGAACCUGCCCUUAGGUUCGGAAUAACUCCCCGAAAGGGGUGCUAAUACCGGAUAAUGUCUUCGGACCAAAGAUUUAUCGCCUUUGGAUGGGCCCGCGUUGGAUUAGCUAGUUGGUAGGGUAAAAGCCUACCAAGGCGACGAUCCAUAGCUGGUCUGAGAGGAUGAUCAGCCACACUGGGACUGAGACACGGCCCAGACUCCUACGGGAGGCAGCAGUGGGGAAUAUUGGACAAUGGGCGAAAGCCUGAUCCAGCCAUGCCGCGUGAGUGAUGAAGGCCUUAGGGUUGUAAAGCUCUUUUACCCGGGAUGAUAAUGACAGUACCGGGAGAAUAAGCUCCGGCUAACUCCGUG